GGUAGCGUGGCCGAGCGGUCUAAGGCGCUGGUUUUAGGCACCAGUCCGAAAGAGGCGUGGGUUCGAAUCCCACCGCUGCCA
This 81-nucleotide transfer RNA is filed under the name Nematostella vectensis (starlet sea anemone). It matches the Rfam family "tRNA". From Rfam's summary of the family: Transfer RNA (tRNA) molecules are approximately 80 nucleotides in length. Their secondary structure includes four short double-helical elements and three loops (D, anti-codon, and T loops). The record is from Rfam by way of RNAcentral. Lineage: Eukaryota; Metazoa; Cnidaria; Anthozoa; Actiniaria; Edwardsiidae.